Molecule: ribosomal RNA, 127 nt
Filed under: Corallococcus exiguus
Lineage: Bacteria; Pseudomonadati; Myxococcota; Myxococcia; Myxococcales; Myxococcaceae
Description: partial 16S ribosomal RNA
Rfam family: Bacterial small subunit ribosomal RNA
Source: RNAcentral
CAAUUGGAGAGUUUGAUCCUGGCUCAGAACGAACGCUGGCGGCGUGCCUAACACAUGCAAGUCGAGCGCGAAUAGGGGCAACCCUUAGUAGAGCGGCGCACGGGUGCGUAACACGUGGAUAAUCUGC